UAGGGAAUCUUCCACAAUGGACGCAAGUCUGAUGGAGCAACGCCGCGUGAGUGAAGAAGGUUUUCGGAUCGUAAAGCUCUGUUGUUGGUGAAGAAGGAUAGAGGCAGUAACUGGUCUUUAUUUGACGGUAAUCAACCAGAAAGUCACGGCUAACUACGUGCCAGCAGCCGCGGUAAUACGUAGGUGGCAAGCGUUGUCCGGAUUUAUUGGGCGUAAAGCGAGCGCAGGCGGAAUGAUAAGUCUGAUGUGAAAGCCCACGGCUCAACCGUGGAACUGCAUCGGAAACUGUCAUUCUUGAGAGCAGAAGAGGAGAGUGGAAUUCCAUGUGUAGCGGUGGAAUGCGUAGAUAUAUGGAAGAACACCAGUGGCGAAGGCGGCUCUCUGGUCUGCAACUGACGCUGAGGCUCGAAAGCAUGGGUAGCGAACAGG
This 429-nucleotide ribosomal RNA is filed under the name bacterium. RNAcentral's name for it is "partial 16S ribosomal RNA". It matches the Rfam family "Bacterial small subunit ribosomal RNA", at positions 355 to 776 of the family's 1533-position model. The record is from RNAcentral.